Zalophus californianus (California sea lion) is the source of this 109-nucleotide small nuclear RNA. Lineage: Eukaryota; Metazoa; Chordata; Mammalia; Carnivora; Otariidae. The record is from Ensembl.
GCGCUGGCUUCGGCAGCACAUACACUAAAAUGGGGACGAUACUGAGAAGAUGAGUGUGGCCCCCGUGCAAGGAUGACAGGCAUGUUUCCCGGAGAAUAGUGCCUCCCGU